GGUCCCGUAGCUCAGCUGGAUAGAGCGUUCGCCUCCUAAGUGAAAGGUCGCAGAUUCGAAUUCUGCCGGGAUCACCA
This 77-nucleotide transfer RNA is filed under the name Acidobacteriota bacterium. RNAcentral describes it as "Acidobacteria bacterium tRNA-Arg". It matches the Rfam family "tRNA". Rfam says of the family: Transfer RNA (tRNA) molecules are approximately 80 nucleotides in length. RNAcentral also lists the same sequence under 1 other name. Lineage: Bacteria; Pseudomonadati; Acidobacteriota. The record is from RNAcentral.